UUUCCGUAGGUGAACCUGCGGAAGGAUCAUUAUCAUGUAAUUCAGUCCCCUUGGCUGUGUUAUAUAUAUACCCACUCUGUGUACCUUCUCCUGUUGCUUCCGCUGGGUGUGUAAUUCGCCCGGCGGAAGGGUAAAAAUAACCUCUGAGUAUUGAUGAAAUCUCUGUCUGAACCGAAUAGAAAGAAAAAUGUUAAAACUUUCAGCAACGGAUCUCUUGGUUCUCGCAUCGGUGAAGAACGCAGC
RNAcentral lists this unclassified non-coding RNA (243 nucleotides) under plant metagenome. RNAcentral's name for it is "partial contains small subunit ribosomal RNA, internal transcribed spacer 1, and 5.8S ribosomal RNA". The stretch from base 195 to 243 matches the Rfam family "5.8S ribosomal RNA", at positions 1 to 49 of the family's 154-position model. The record is from RNAcentral.